This 292-nucleotide ribosomal RNA is filed under the name uncultured microorganism. Its description in RNAcentral is "partial 16S ribosomal RNA". It matches the Rfam family "Bacterial small subunit ribosomal RNA", at positions 505 to 796 of the family's 1533-position model. The record is from RNAcentral.
GUGCCACCAGCCGCGGUAACACGUCGGUGGCAAGCGUUAUCCGGAAUUAUUGGGCGUAAAGCGCGCGUAGGCGGUUUUUUAAGUCUGAUGUGAAAGCCCACGGCUCAACCGUGGAGGGUCAUUGGAAACUGGAAAACUUGAGUGCAGAAGAGGAAAGUGGAAUUCCAUGUGUAGCGGUGAAAUGCGCAGAGAUAUGGAGGAACACCAGUGGCGAAGGCGACUUUCUGGUCCGUAACUGACGCUGAUGUGCGAAAGCGUGGGGAUCAAACAGGAUUAGAUACCCUGGUAGUCC